GACGAACGCUGGCGGCGUGCCUAAUACAUGCAAGUCGAACGAUGAAGCUCAGCUUUCUGGGUGGAGUAGUGGCGAACGGGCGGGUAACACGCGAGUAACCAGCCUUUGACUCUGGGCUAAGCGAUGCAAACGGCGCGUAAUUACGGAUACGAGAUUUCUAAGCAUGGAUAGUUUCUGGAAAGAAUGUCGGUCAAGCAUUGACUCCCGGCCUAUCAGGUAGUGGGUGAGGUAAUGGGUCACCAAGCCGACGACGGGUAGCCGGCCUGAGAGGGUGACCGGCCACACUGGGACUGAGACACGGCCCAGACUCCUACGGGAGGCAGCAGUGGGGAAUAUUGCACAAUGGGCGCAAGCCUGAUGCAGCAACGCCGCGUGAGGGACGAAGGCCUUCGGGUCGUAAACCUCUUUUAGCAGGGAAGAAGCGAAAGUGACGGUACCUGCAGAAAAAGCACCGGCUAACUACGUG
Molecule: ribosomal RNA, 466 nt
Filed under: uncultured bacterium
Lineage: Bacteria
Description: partial 16S ribosomal RNA
Rfam family: Bacterial small subunit ribosomal RNA
Source: RNAcentral